UUAAGCGACUAAGCGUACACGGUGGAUGCCCGCAGUCAGAGGCGAUGAAGGACGUGCUAAUCUGCGAUAAGCGUCGGUAAGGUGAUAUGAACCGUUAUAACCGGCGAUUUCCGAAUGGGGAAACCCAGUGUGAUUCGUCACACUAUCAUUAACUGAAUCCAUAGGUUAAUGAGGCGAACCGGGGGAACUGAAACAUCUAAGUACCCCGAGGAAAAGAAAUCAACCGAGAUUCCCCCAGUAGCGGCGAGCGAACGGGGAGGAGCCCAGAGCCUGAAUCAGUGUGUGUGUUAGUGGAAGCGUCUGGAAAGGCGCGCGAUACAGGGUGACAGCCCCGUACACAAAAAUGCACAUGCUGUGAGCUCGAUGAGUAGGGCGGGACACGUGGUAUCCUGUCUGAAUAUGGGGGGACCAUCCUCCAAGGCUAAAUACUCCUGACUGACCGAUAGUGAACCAGUACCGUGAGGGAAAGGCGAAAAGAACCCCGGCGAGGGGAGUGAAAAAGAACCUGAAACCGUGUACGUACAAGCAGUGGGAGCCUCUUUAUGGGGUGACUGCGUACCUUUUGUAUAAUGGGUCAGCGACUUAUAUUCUGUAGCAAGGUUAACCGAAUAGGGAGCCGAAGGGAAACCGAGUCUUAACUGGGCGUUAAGUUGCAGGGUAUAGACCCGAAACCCGGUGAUUCAGCCAUGGGCAGGUUGAAGGUUGGGUAACACUAACUGGAGGACCGAACCGACUAAUGUUGAAAAAUUAGCGGAUGACUUGUGGCUGGGGGUGAAAGGCCAAUCAAACCGGGAGAUAGCUGGUUCUCCCCGAAAGCUAUUUAGGUAGCGCCUCGUGAAUUCAUCUCCGGGGGUAGAGCACUGUUUCGGCAAGGGGGUCAUCCCGACUUACCAACCCGAUGCAAACUGCGAAUACCGGAGAAUGUUAUCACGGGAGACACACGGCGGGUGCUAACGUCCGUCGUGAAGAGGGAAACAACCCAGACCGCCAGCUAAGGUCCCAAAGUCAUGGUUAAGUGGGAAACGAUGUGGGAAGGCCCAGACAGCCAGGAUGUUGGCUUAGAAGCAGCCAUCAUUUAAAGAAAGCGUAAUAGCUCACUGGUCGAGUCGGCCUGCGCGGAAGAUGUAACGGGGCUAAACCAUGCACCGAAGCUGCGGCAGCGACACUAUGUGUUGUUGGGUAGGGGAGCGUUCUGUAAGCCUGCGAAGGUGUACUGUGAGGUAUGCUGGAGGUAUCAGAAGUGCGAAUGCUGACAUAAGUAACGAUAAAGCGGGUGAAAAGCCCGCUCGCCGGAAGACCAAGGGUUCCUGUCCAACGUUAAUCGGGGCAGGGUGAGUCGACCCCUAAGGCGAGGCCGAAAGGCGUAGUCGAUGGGAAACAGGUUAAUAUUCCUGUACUUGGUGUUACUGCGAAGGGGGGGGACGGAGAAGGCUAUGUUGGCCGGGCGACGGUUGUCCCGGUUUAAGCGUGUAGGCUGGUUUUCCAGGCAAAUCCGGAAAAUCAAGGCUGAGGCGUGAUGACGAGGCACUACGGUGCUGAAGCAACAAAUGCCCUGCUUCCAGGAAAAGCCUCUAAGCAUCAGGUAACAUCAAAUCGUACCCCAAACCGACACAGGUGGUCAGGUAGAGAAUACCAAGGCGCUUGAGAGAACUCGGGUGAAGGAACUAGGCAAAAUGGUGCCGUAACUUCGGGAGAAGGCACGCUGAUAUGUAGGUGAAGUCCCUCGCGGAUGGAGCUGAAAUCAGUCGAAGAUACCAGCUGGCUGCAACUGUUUAUUAAAAACACAGCACUGUGCAAACACGAAAGUGGACGUAUACGGUGUGACGCCUGCCCGGUGCCGGAAGGUUAAUUGAUGGGGUUAGCGGUAACGCGAAGCUCUUGAUCGAAGCCCCGGUAAACGGCGGCCGUAACUAUAACGGUCCUAAGGUAGCGAAAUUCCUUGUCGGGUAAGUUCCGACCUGCACGAAUGGCGUAAUGAUGGCCAGGCUGUCUCCACCCGAGACUCAGUGAAAUUGAACUCGCUGUGAAGAUGCAGUGUACCCGCGGCAAGACGGAAAGACCCCGUGAACCUUUACUAUAGCUUGACACUGAACAUUGAGCCUUGAUGUGUAGGAUAGGUGGGAGGCUUUGAAGUGUGGACGCCAGUCUGCAUGGAGCCGACCUUGAAAUACCACCCUUUAAUGUUUGAUGUUCUAACGUUGGCCCCUAAUCGGGGUUGCGGACAGUGUCUGGUGGGUAGUUUGACUGGGGCGGUCUCCUCCUAAAGAGUAACGGAGGAGCACGAAGGUUGGCUAAUCCUGGUCGGACAUCAGGAGGUUAGUGCAAUGGCAUAAGCCAGCUUGACUGCGAGCGUGACGGCGCGAGCAGGUGCGAAAGCAGGUCAUAGUGAUCCGGUGGUUCUGAAUGGAAGGGCCAUCGCUCAACGGAUAAAAGGUACUCCGGGGAUAACAGGCUGAUACCGCCCAAGAGUUCAUAUCGACGGCGGUGUUUGGCACCUCGAUGUCGGCUCAUCACAUCCUGGGGCUGAAGUAGGUCCCAAGGGUAUGGCUGUUCGCCAUUUAAAGUGGUACGCGAGCUGGGUUUAGAACGUCGUGAGACAGUUCGGUCCCUAUCUGCCGUGGGCGCUGGAGAACUGAGGGGGGCUGCUCCUAGUACGAGAGGACCGGAGUGGACGCAUCACUGGUGUUCGGGUUGUCAUGCCAAUGGCACUGCCCGGUAGCUAAAUGCGGAAGAGAUAAGUGCUGAAAGCAUCUAAGCACGAAACUUGCCCCGAGAUGAGUUCUCCUGACUCCUGAGAGUCCUGAAGGAACGUUGAAGACGACGACGUUGAUAGGCCGGGUGUAAGCGCAGCGAUGCGUUGAGCUAACCGGUACUAAUGAACCGUGAGGCUUAACCU
RNAcentral lists this ribosomal RNA (2896 nucleotides) under Escherichia coli. RNAcentral describes it as "23S ribosomal RNA". It matches the Rfam family "Bacterial large subunit ribosomal RNA". Lineage: Bacteria; Pseudomonadati; Pseudomonadota; Gammaproteobacteria; Enterobacterales; Enterobacteriaceae. The record is from RNAcentral.